This 274-nucleotide ribosomal RNA is filed under the name uncultured bacterium. Its description in RNAcentral is "partial 16S ribosomal RNA". It matches the Rfam family "Bacterial small subunit ribosomal RNA", at positions 523 to 796 of the family's 1533-position model. The record is from RNAcentral.
CUACGGAGGGUCCGAGCGUUAAUCGGAAUUACUGGGCGUAAAGCGCGCGUAGGCGGCUAUAUAAGUCAGAUGUGAAAUCCCUGGGCUCAACCUAGGAACUGCAUUUGAAACUGUAUGGCUAGAGUAUGGUAGAGGUGAGUGGAAUUUCAGGUGUAGCGGUGAAAUGCGUAGAGAUCUGAAGGAACAUCAGUGGCGAAGGCGACUCACUGGGCCAUUACUGACGCUGAGGUGCGAAAGCGUGGGUAGCAAACAGGAUUAGAUACCCUAGUAGUCC